GUGCACGCUGGCGGUAGGCCUAACCCCUGCAAGUCGAACGGCAGCACAGUAAGAGCUUGCUCUUACGGGUGGCGAGUGGCGGACGGGUGAGGAAUACAUCGGAAUCUACUUUUUCGUGGGGGAUAACGUAGGGAAACUUACGCCAAUACCGCAUACGACCUACGGGUGAAAGCAGGGGAUCUUCGGACCUUGCGCGAUUGAAUGAGCCGAUGUCGGAUUAGCUAGUUGGCGGGGUAAAGGCCCACCAAGGCGACGAUCCGUAGCUGGUCUGAGAGGAUGAUCAGCCACACUGGAACUGAGACACGGUCCAGACUCCUACGGGAGGCAGCAGUGGGGAAUAUUGGACAAUGGGCGCAAGCCUGAUCCAGCCAUACCGCGUGGGUGAAGAAGACCUUCGGGUUGUAAAGCCCUUUUGUUGGGAAAGAAAGGCAGCAGGUUAAUACCCCGCUGUUCUGACGGUACCCAAAGAAUAAGCACCGGCUAACUUCGUG
Molecule: ribosomal RNA, 491 nt
Filed under: uncultured bacterium
Lineage: Bacteria
Description: partial 16S ribosomal RNA
Rfam family: Bacterial small subunit ribosomal RNA
Source: RNAcentral